This 812-nucleotide ribosomal RNA is filed under the name uncultured bacterium. RNAcentral's name for it is "bacterial SSU rRNA". It matches the Rfam family "Bacterial small subunit ribosomal RNA", at positions 636 to 1447 of the family's 1533-position model. The record is from RNAcentral.
UNUGACUUGAGUGCAGAAGGGGAGAGUGGAAUUCCAUGUGUAGCGGUGAAAUGCGUAGAUAUAUGGAGGNACACCAGUGGCGAAAGCGGCUCUCUGGUCUGUCACUGACGCUGAGGCUCGAAAGCGUGGGUAGCGAACAGGAUUAGAUACCCUGGUAGUCCACGCCGUAAACGAUGAGUGCUAGGUGUUAGGCCCUUUCCGGGGCUUAGUGCCGGAGCUAACGCAAUAAGCACUCCGCCUGGGGAGUACGACCGCAAGGUUGAAACUCAAAGGAAUUGACGGGGGCCCGCACAAGCGGUGGAGCAUGUGGUUUGAUUCGAAGCAACGCGAAGAACCUUACCAGGUCUUGACAUCCCGAUGCUAUUCUUAGAGAUAGGAAGUUACUUCGGUACAUCGGAGACAGGUGGUGCAUGGUUGUCGUCAGCUCGUGUCGUGAGAUGUUGGGUUAAGUCCCGCAACGAGCGCAACCCUUAUUGUUAGUUGCCAUCAUUAAGUUGGGCACUCUAGCGAGACUGCCGGUAAUAAACCGGAGGAAGGUGGGGAUGACGUCAAAUCAUCAUGCCCCUUAUGACCUGGGCUACACACGUGCUACAAAGGUCGGUACAACGAGUUGCGAGCCGGUGACGGCAAGCUAAUCUCUGAAAGCCGAUCUCAGUUCGGAUUGGAGGCUGCAACUCGCCUCCAUGAAGUCGGAAUCGCUAGUAAUCGCGGAUCAGCACGCCGCGGUGAAUACGUUCCCGGGCCUUGUACACACCGCCCGUCACACCACGAGAGUUUGUAACACCCGAAGUCGGUGAGGUANCCUUUUAGGG